Molecule: non-coding RNA, 78 nt
Filed under: Kryptoperidinium triquetrum
Lineage: Eukaryota; Dinophyceae; Peridiniales; Kryptoperidiniaceae
Source: RNAcentral
CGCCGUGAUGCUCCAAAAAGGCCUGGAGCGCAUCGGCAACGUCUCUGUCCUGCCCUCGUCUGUGCCCAGCAAGACCGU